AAGUCGUAACAAGGUUUCCGUAGGUGAACCUGCGGAAGGAUCAUUAAUGAUAUGGCGAACCGAGCGUUAGCGAGGUUUCGCGAUCAAACUUGUAUUUAAAACCCACACUUUUGAAUGUAUAUUUUUAUAUUUUGUAUGAUAAAUAAAAGAUCACUUUCAACAACGGAUCUCUUGGCUCUC
RNAcentral lists this unclassified non-coding RNA (180 nucleotides) under fungal sp. Its description in RNAcentral is "partial internal transcribed spacer region". The stretch from base 1 to 46 matches the Rfam family "Eukaryotic small subunit ribosomal RNA", at positions 1786 to 1831 of the family's 1831-position model. The record is from RNAcentral. Lineage: Eukaryota; Fungi.